GAUGAACGCUGGCGGCGUGCCUAAUACAUGCAAGUCGAGCGAACAGACGAGGAGCUUGCUCCUCUGACGUUAGCGGCGGACGGGUGAGUAACACGUGGAUAACCUACCUAUAAGACUGGGAUAACUUCGGGAAACCGGAGCUAAUACCGGAUAAUAUAUUGAACCGCAUGGUUCAAUAGUGAAAGACGGUUUUGCUGUCACUUAUAGAUGGAUCCGCGCCGCAUUAGCUAGUUGGUAAGGUAACGGCUUACCAAGGCAACGAUGCGUAGCCGACCUGAGAGGGUGAUCGGCCACAGUGGAACUGAGACACGGUCCAGACUCCUACGGGAGGCAGCAGUAGGGAAUCUUCCGCAAUGGGCGAAAGCCUGACGGAGCAACGCCGCGUGAGUGAUGAAGAUCUUCGGAUCGUAAAACUCUGUUAUUAGGGAAGAACAAAUGUGUAAGUAACUAUGCACGUCUUGACGGUACCUAAUCAGAAAGCCAAGGCUAACUACGUG
RNAcentral lists this ribosomal RNA (497 nucleotides) under uncultured bacterium. Its description in RNAcentral is "partial 16S ribosomal RNA". It matches the Rfam family "Bacterial small subunit ribosomal RNA", at positions 28 to 507 of the family's 1533-position model. The record is from RNAcentral.